This 367-nucleotide ribosomal RNA is filed under the name uncultured eukaryote. RNAcentral describes it as "partial 18S ribosomal RNA". It matches the Rfam family "Eukaryotic small subunit ribosomal RNA", at positions 592 to 976 of the family's 1831-position model. The record is from RNAcentral.
CAAUAGCGUAUAUUAAAGUUGUUGCAGUUAAAAAGCUCGUAGUUGAAGAUACGAACGCUUACACUAGAACAAAGUUUCCGGUGUCUGCGUUCACUUUUCGCAAAGACAGCCUGGCCCAUUAGUUUGGGUCUUGUUUGAGUUGCGUCAUUUACUGUGAACAAAUUAGGGCGUUUAAAGCAGGCCUACGUUUGAAUACACUAGCAUGGAAUAAUAAGAUAUGAUCUUGGUCGUAUUUUGUUGGUGACUACCAAGAUAAUGAUUGAUAGAAACUGUUGUGGGUAUUCGUAUGAGCAUGUCAGAGGUGAAAUUCUUGGAUUUUGAUCAGACGAACUACUGCGAAAGUAUUUACCAAGGAUGUUUUCAUUAA